This 2905-nucleotide ribosomal RNA is filed under the name Escherichia coli. RNAcentral describes it as "23S ribosomal RNA". It matches the Rfam family "Bacterial large subunit ribosomal RNA". The record is from RNAcentral. Lineage: Bacteria; Pseudomonadati; Pseudomonadota; Gammaproteobacteria; Enterobacterales; Enterobacteriaceae.
GGUUAAGCGACUAAGCGUACACGGUGGAUGCCCUGGCAGUCAGAGGCGAUGAAGGACGUGCUAAUCUGCGAUAAGCGUCGGUAAGGUGAUAUGAACCGUUAUAACCGGCGAUUUCCGAAUGGGGAAACCCAGUGUGAUUCGUCACACUAUCAUUAACUGAAUCCAUAGGUUAAUGAGGCGAACCGGGGGAACUGAAACAUCUAAGUACCCCGAGGAAAAGAAAUCAACCGAGAUUCCCCCAGUAGCGGCGAGCGAACGGGGAGGAGCCCAGAGCCUGAAUCAGUGUGUGUGUUAGUGGAAGCGUCUGGAAAGGCGCGCGAUACAGGGUGACAGCCCCGUACACAAAAAUGCACAUGCUGUGAGCUCGAUGAGUAGGGCGGGACACGUGGUAUCCUGUCUGAAUAUGGGGGGACCAUCCUCCAAGGCUAAAUACUCCUGACUGACCGAUAGUGAACCAGUACCGUGAGGGAAAGGCGAAAAGAACCCCGGCGAGGGGAGUGAAAAAGAACCUGAAACCGUGUACGUACAAGCAGUGGGAGCCUCUUUAUGGGGUGACUGCGUACCUUUUGUAUAAUGGGUCAGCGACUUAUAUUCUGUAGCAAGGUUAACCGAAUAGGGGAGCCGAAGGGAAACCGAGUCUUAACUGGGCGUUAAGUUGCAGGGUAUAGACCCGAAACCCGGUGAUCUAGCCAUGGGCAGGUUGAAGGUUGGGUAACACUAACUGGAGGACCGAACCGACUAAUGUUGAAAAAUUAGCGGAUGACUUGUGGCUGGGGGUGAAAGGCCAAUCAAACCGGGAGAUAGCUGGUUCUCCCCGAAAGCUAUUUAGGUAGCGCCUCGUGAAUUCAUCUCCGGGGGUAGAGCACUGUUUCGGCAAGGGGGUCAUCCCGACUUACCAACCCGAUGCAAACUGCGAAUACCGGAGAAUGUUAUCACGGGAGACACACGGCGGGUGCUAACGUCCGUCGUGAAGAGGGAAACAACCCAGACCGCCAGCUAAGGUCCCAAAGUCAUGGUUAAGUGGGAAACGAUGUGGGAAGGCCCAGACAGCCAGGAUGUUGGCUUAGAAGCAGCCAUCAUUUAAAGAAAGCGUAAUAGCUCACUGGUCGAGUCGGCCUGCGCGGAAGAUGUAACGGGGCUAAACCAUGCACCGAAGCUGCGGCAGCGACGCUUAUGCGUUGUUGGGUAGGGGAGCGUUCUGUAAGCCUGUGAAGGUGUGCUGUGAGGCAUGCUGGAGGUAUCAGAAGUGCGAAUGCUGACAUAAGUAACGAUAAAGCGGGUGAAAAGCCCGCUCGCCGGAAGACCAAGGGUUCCUGUCCAACGUUAAUCGGGGCAGGGUGAGUCGACCCCUAAGGCGAGGCCGAAAGGCGUAGUCGAUGGGAAACAGGUUAAUAUUCCUGUACUUGGUGUUACUGCGAAGGGGGGACGGAGAAGGCUAUGUUGGCCGGGCGACGGUUGUCCCGGUUUAAGCGUGUAGGCUGGUUUUCCAGGCAAAUCCGGAAAAUCAAGGCUGAGGCGUGAUGACGAGGCACUACGGUGCUGAAGCAACAAAUGCCCUGCUUCCAGGAAAAGCCUCUAAGCAUCAGGUAACAUCAAAUCGUACCCCAAACCGACACAGGUGGUCAGGUAGAGAAUACCAAGGCGCUUGAGAGAACUCGGGUGAAGGAACUAGGCAAAAUGGUGCCGUAACUUCGGGAGAAGGCACGCUGAUAUGUAGGUGAAGCGACUUGCUCGUGGAGCUGAAAUCAGUCGAAGAUACCAGCUGGCUGCAACUGUUUAUUAAAAACACAGCACUGUGCAAACACGAAAGUGGACGUAUACGGUGUGACGCCUGCCCGGUGCCGGAAGGUUAAUUGAUGGGGUUAGCGGUAACGCGAAGCUCUUGAUCGAAGCCCCGGUAAACGGCGGCCGUAACUAUAACGGUCCUAAGGUAGCGAAAUUCCUUGUCGGGUAAGUUCCGACCUGCACGAAUGGCGUAAUGAUGGCCAGGCUGUCUCCACCCGAGACUCAGUGAAAUUGAACUCGCUGUGAAGAUGCAGUGUACCCGCGGCAAGACGGAAAGACCCCGUGAACCUUUACUAUAGCUUGACACUGAACAUUGAGCCUUGAUGUGUAGGAUAGGUGGGAGGCUUUGAAGUGUGGACGCCAGUCUGCAUGGAGCCGACCUUGAAAUACCACCCUUUAAUGUUUGAUGUUCUAACGUUGGCCCCUUAUCGGGGUUGCGGACAGUGUCUGGUGGGUAGUUUGACUGGGGCGGUCUCCUCCUAAAGAGUAACGGAGGAGCACGAAGGUUGGCUAAUCCUGGUCGGACAUCAGGAGGUUAGUGCAAUGGCAUAAGCCAGCUUGACUGCGAGCGUGACGGCGCGAGCAGGUGCGAAAGCAGGUCAUAGUGAUCCGGUGGUUCUGAAUGGAAGGGCCAUCGCUCAACGGAUAAAAGGUACUCCGGGGAUAACAGGCUGAUACCGCCCAAGAGUUCAUAUCGACGGCGGUGUUUGGCACCUCGAUGUCGGCUCAUCACAUCCUGGGGCUGAAGUAGGUCCCAAGGGUAUGGCUGUUCGCCAUUUAAAGUGGUACGCGAGCUGGGUUUAGAACGUCGUGAGACAGUUCGGUCCCUAUCUGCCGUGGGCGCUGGAGAACUGAGGGGGGCUGCUCCUAGUACGAGAGGACCGGAGUGGACGCAUCACUGGUGUUCGGGUUGUCAUGCCAAUGGCACUGCCCGGUAGCUAAAUGCGGAAGAGAUAAGUGCUGAAAGCAUCUAAGCACGAAACUUGCCCCGAGAUGAGUUCUCCCUGACCCUUUAAGGGUCCUGAAGGAACGUUGAAGACGACGACGUUGAUAGGCCGGGUGUGUAAGCGCAGCGAUGCGUUGAGCUAACCGGUACUAAUGAACCGUGAGGCUUAACCUU